GCCAGGUGUGGUGGUGGACGCCUGUAAUCCCAGCUACUCGGGAGGCUGAGGCAGAAGAAUCCCUUGAACCCAGGAGGCAUAGGUUGCAGUGAGCAGAGAUUGUGCCACUGCACUCCAGCCUGAGUGACAAGAGGGAAACUCUGUCUCAA
Molecule: unclassified non-coding RNA, 149 nt
Organism: Pongo abelii (Sumatran orangutan)
Lineage: Eukaryota; Metazoa; Chordata; Mammalia; Primates; Hominidae
Rfam family: Metazoan signal recognition particle RNA
About the family: The signal recognition particle (SRP) is a universally conserved ribonucleoprotein. It is involved in the co-translational targeting of proteins to membranes.
Source: Ensembl